CCUACGGGAGGCAGCAGUGAGGAAUAUUGGUCAAUGGGCGGAAGCCUGAACCAGCCAAGUCGCGUGAGGGAAUAAGGCCCUACGGGUCGUAAACCUCUUUUGUCAGGGAGCAAGUGCGGGGACGUGUCCCCGCAGGGAGAGUACCCGGAGCAAAAGCAUCGGCUAACUCCGUGCCAGCAGCCGCGGUAAUACGGAGGAUGCGAGCGUUCUCCGGAUUUAUUGGGGUUAAAGGUUGCGUAGGCGGAAUGGCAAGUCAGAGGUAAAAGUUCGGGGCUAAACCGCGCCGGCCCGUUGAACAUGAUGUUCUGGAGUGGGAGAGAAGUAUGCGGAAGGCGUGGUGUAGCGGUGAA
RNAcentral lists this ribosomal RNA (350 nucleotides) under uncultured bacterium. RNAcentral describes it as "partial 16S ribosomal RNA". It matches the Rfam family "Bacterial small subunit ribosomal RNA", at positions 338 to 685 of the family's 1533-position model. The record is from RNAcentral.